GUUUAUAGUUGUACAUUGUACGAUGACAUUCCAUUACAUUCAGAGUGUGUAAAGUACUCGAGCACCAGGUUCAAGACCAUAAAAGCCUUACAACCUUCUGCCAUAUGACUGGCGGUGCUCAGAGUCAAAGUGCACAGGUGUGUGGAUUGCGACUGAACGUGCACAUGUGUUGCCACCAGCACAGGACAGCCGACUUGAAGUUUCAUUAAUGAUCCUUCCGCAGGUUCACCUACGGAAA
RNAcentral lists this unclassified non-coding RNA (238 nucleotides) under uncultured fungus. Its description in RNAcentral is "sequence contains ITS1". Lineage: Eukaryota; Fungi. The record is from RNAcentral.